This 1368-nucleotide ribosomal RNA is filed under the name uncultured bacterium. RNAcentral's name for it is "bacterial SSU rRNA". It matches the Rfam family "Bacterial small subunit ribosomal RNA", at positions 27 to 1391 of the family's 1533-position model. The record is from RNAcentral.
GAGCGAACGCUGGCGGCGUGCCUAACACAUGCAAGUCGAACGGGGUCCGCGGGGGCAACUCUGCGGACUUACGUGGCAAACGGGUGAGUAACGCGUGGGCAACCUGCCCGUGAGUGGGGAAUAACCCCGGGAAACUGGGGCUAAUACCGCAUACCUUCCGACCAAAUCGGAAGAAAGCCCGCAAGGGCGCUCGCGGAGGGGCCCGCGUCCGAUCAGCUUGUUGGUGAGGUAACGGCUCACCAAGGCGAGGACCGGUAGCCGGCCUGAGAGGGUGUACGGCCACACUGGGACUGCGACACGGCCCAGACUCCUACGGGAGGCAGCAGUGAGGAAUAUUGCGCAAUGGGGGAAACCCUGACGCAGCGACGCCGCGUGGAGGACGAAGCCCUUCGGGGUGUAAACUCCUUUCGACCCGGACGAAACCCCCGAGCAAUCGGGAUUGACGGUACGGGUAGAAGAAGCCCCGGCUAACUACGUGCCAGCAGCCGCGGUAAUACGUAGGGGGCAAGCGUUGCUCGGAAUUACUGGGCGUAAAGGGUCCGUAGGCGGCUCGGUGUGUCCGUCGUGAAAUCUUCGGGCUUAACUCGAAGUGGUCGACGGAAACUGCCGGGCUAGAGGGCCGGAGAGGGGCGUGGAAUUGCGGGUGUAGCGGUGAAAUGCGUAGAGAUCCGCAGGAACACCGGCGGCGAAGGCGGCGCCCUGGACGGCUCCUGACGCUGAGGGACGAAAGCUGGGGGAGCAAACAGGAUUAGAUACCCUGGUAGUCCCAGCCCUAAACGAUGGUCACUGGGUGUGUCCCGCGGACGCGGGACGUGCCGGCGCUAACGCAUUAAGUGACCCGCCUGGGGAGUACGGUCGCAAGACUGAAACUCAAAGGAAUUGACGGGGGCCCGCACAAGCGGUGGAGCAUGUGGUUCAAUUCGACGCAACGCGAAGAACCUUACCUGGGCUUGAAGAGCACGGGACCAGGCCGCGAAAGUGGCCCUUCCCGCAAGGGACUCGUGCAGAGGUGCUGCAUGGCUGUCGUCAGCUCGUGUCGUGAGAUGUUGGGUUAAGUCCCGCAACGAGCGCAACCCUUGUCCGUAGUUGCCAGCCCCGACGCAAGUCGGGGGGAACUCUACGGAGACUGCCCGUGAUAAACGGGAGGAAGGUGGGGAUGACGUCAAGUCAGCAUGGCCUUUAUGUCCAGGGCUACACACGUGCUACAAUGCGCGCUACAAAGGGUUGCCAACCCGCAAGGGGGAGCCAAUCCCAAAAAAGCGCGCUCAGUUCGGAUUGCCGUCUGCAACUCGACGGCAUGAAGCCGGAAUCGCUAGUAAUGGCGCAUCAGCACGGCGCCGUGAAUACGUUCCCGGGCCUGUACUCACC